AUGUCCCUGCAGUCUCUCCUUUAUCUGCUCAUCACACCGCUCAUCUCUUCACUCAGCACCAGAGUCCCAUCACACACGGACAUCAUGAUUGCCAACUUGAGAGGAACAAAGCUGAUCGUCAGCAAUGCUGCUCUCCCGGUUCCUGUUCUGACCGUUCUCCCUCCGUCCAGUGAAGAGCUGAAGUCUAAUAAAGCCACUCUAGUGUGUUUGGCCAGUGACAUGUCUGUCGGUUUUGCUGAUGUCCGCUGGCUCGUGAACGGGAACUCGGUCACCAGUGGAGUCAUCACCGGCUCUGUACAGCAGCAAGACAAUAAGAAAUUCACACUGAGCAGCUACUUGACCAUCGACAGCUCCGAGUGGGACAACAGCAAAGUCAUAACAUGUGAAGUGUCUGCUGGAGGAAAAGCCGCAUCAGUGAAGAUUAACAAGUCUGAAUGCAGUGAAUGAACCUGAUUAUUGCUUUAUACAUAUAUCAAUCUUUCAGAAAAAGUUUAUAGAUGUUAUAGAUGAAUCUGUAGAAAGAAAGGAUCUAAACUCCUGCAUGUAAUCAAAUUAGAAGCUUAAUAAAAGUGCAAU
Molecule: non-coding RNA, 576 nt
Organism: Hemibagrus wyckioides
Lineage: Eukaryota; Metazoa; Chordata; Actinopteri; Siluriformes; Bagridae
Source: the annotation of a RefSeq genome assembly